Molecule: non-coding RNA, 73 nt
Filed under: Paraburkholderia sp. RAU2J
Lineage: Bacteria; Pseudomonadati; Pseudomonadota; Betaproteobacteria; Burkholderiales; Burkholderiaceae
Source: RNAcentral
AACCGCCGUGUACGGACCCGUAUGCCCGGUGGUGUGGGAAGGGUCGGGCCGCGAGGUCUGCCCCUAUCCCGAU